GACGAACGCUGGCGGCGUGCUUAACACAUGCAAGUCGAGCGGUAAGGCCCUUUCGGGGGUCACGAGCGGCGAACGGGUGAGUAACACGUGGGUGACCUGCCCUCAGCUCUGGGAGUAAGCCCGGGAAACGUGGGUCGUAAUACCGGAUAUGACUCCAUGACGCAUGUUGUGGGGUGGGAAAGCCUUGUGCGGCUGAGGAUGGGCCCGCGGCCUAUCAGCUUGUUGGUGGGGUGAU
RNAcentral lists this ribosomal RNA (235 nucleotides) under uncultured bacterium. RNAcentral's name for it is "partial 16S ribosomal RNA". It matches the Rfam family "Bacterial small subunit ribosomal RNA", at positions 28 to 261 of the family's 1533-position model. The record is from RNAcentral.